AACGAACGCUGGCGGCACGCCUAACACAUGCAAGUCGAGCGAGACCUUCGGGUCUAGUGGCGCACGGGUGCGUAACGCGUGGGAACCUGCCCUUAGGUUCGGAAUAACUCCCCGAAAGGGGUGCUAAUACCGGAUAAUGUCUUCGGACCAAAGAUUUAUCGCCUUUGGAUGGGCCCGCGUUGGAUUAGCUAGUUGGUAGGGUAAAAGCCUACCAAGGCGACGAUCCAUAGCUGGUCUGAGAGGAUGAUCAGCCACACUGGGACUGAGACACGGCCCAGACUCCUACGGGAGGCAGCAGUGGGGAAUAUUGGACAAUGGGCGAAAGCCUGAUCCAGCAAUGCCGCGUGAGUGAUGAAGGCCUUAGGGUUGUAAAGCUCUUUUACCCGGGAUGAUAAUGACAGUACCGGGAGAAUAAGCUCCGGCUAACUCCGUG
This 433-nucleotide ribosomal RNA is filed under the name uncultured bacterium. RNAcentral's name for it is "partial 16S ribosomal RNA". It matches the Rfam family "Bacterial small subunit ribosomal RNA", at positions 29 to 507 of the family's 1533-position model. The record is from RNAcentral.